Molecule: small nucleolar RNA, 132 nt
Organism: Suncus etruscus (white-toothed pygmy shrew)
Lineage: Eukaryota; Metazoa; Chordata; Mammalia; Eulipotyphla; Soricidae
Product: small nucleolar RNA SNORA51
Exons: 1
Source: RefSeq, a predicted model, not a curated record
GGCCUCCCAAUGCUUCCCACAUGCUGUGUUCUUUAUACUGACUGCAUAAAAAGAGGAGGUAUGCAAAUACUCCCCAUAUACACCUCAAACCAGGCCCUUUGCCUGGUAUAUAUUGUGAAUGGGGGAACAAAA